This 301-nucleotide ribosomal RNA is filed under the name uncultured bacterium. Its description in RNAcentral is "partial 16S ribosomal RNA". It matches the Rfam family "Bacterial small subunit ribosomal RNA", at positions 509 to 807 of the family's 1533-position model. The record is from RNAcentral.
CAGUAGCCGCGGUAAUACGGAGGGAGCUAGCGUUGUUCGGAAUUACUGGGCGUAAAGCGCGCGUAGGCGGUUACUCAAGUCAGAGGUGAAAGCCCGGGGCUCAACCCCGGAACUGCCUUUGAAACUAGGUGACUAGAAUCUUGGAGAGGUCAGUGGAAUUCCGAGUGUAGAGGUGAAAUUCGUAGAUAUUCGGAAGAACACCAGUGGCGAAGGCGACUGACUGGACAAGUAUUGACGCUGAGGUGCGAAAGCGUGGGGAGCAAACAGGAUUAGAGACCCCUGUAGUCCCUGUCUCUUAUAC